AGCUUGCUGGGCGGAUUAGUGGCGAACGGGUGAGUAACACGUGAGUAACCUGCCCUUGACUUCGGGAUAACUCCGGGAAACCGGGGCUAAUACCGGAUAUGAGCCGUCCUCGCAUGGGGGUGGUUGGAAAGUUUUUCGGUCAGGGAUGGGCUCGCGGCCUAUCAGCUUGUUGGUGGGGUGAUGGCCUACCAAGGCGACGACGGGUAGCCGGCCUGAGAGGGCGACCGGCCACACUGGGACUGAGACACGGCCCAGACUCCUACGGGAGGCAGCAGUGGGGAAUAUUGCACAAUGGGCGAAAGCCUGAUGCAGCGACGCCGCGUGAGGGAUGAAGGCCUUCGGGUUGUAAACCUCUUUCAGCAGGGAAGAAGCGCAAGUGACGGUACCUGCAGAAGAAGCGCCGGCUAACUACGUGCCAGCAGCCGCGGUAAUACGUAGGGCGCAAGCGUUGUCCGGAAUUAUUGGGCGUAAAGAGCUCGUAGGCGGUUUGUCGCGUCUGGUGUGAAAACUCGAGGCUCAACCUCGAGCUUGCAUCGGGUACGGGCAGACUAGAGUGCGGUAGGGGAGACUGGAAUUCCUGGUGUAGCGGUGGAAUGCGCAGAUAUCAGGAGGAACACCGAUGGCGAAGGCAGGUCUCUGGGCCGCAACUGACGCUGAGGAGCGAAAGCAUGGGGAGCGAACAGGAUUAGAUACCCUGGUAGUCCAUGCCGUAAACGUUGGGCACUAGGUGUGGGGCUCAUUCCACGAGUUCCGUGCCGCAGCAAACGCAUUAAGUGCCCCGCCUGGGGAGUACGGCCGCAAGGCUAAAACUCAAAGGAAUUGACGGGGGCCCGCACAAGCGGCGGAGCAUGCGGAUUAAUUCGAUGCAACGCGAAGAACCUUACCAAGGCUUGACAUGCACGAGAAGCCACCAGAGAUGGUGGUCUCUUUGGGACACUCGUGCACAGGUGGUGCAUGGUUGUCGUCAGCUCGUGUCGUGAGAUGUUGGGUUAAGUCCCGCAACGAGCGCAACCCUCGUCCCAUGUUGCCAGCGGGUUAUGCCGGGGACUCAUGGGAGACUGCCGGGGUCAACUCGGAGGAAGGUGGGGAUGACGUCAAAUCAUCAUGCCCCUUAUGUCUUGGGCUUCACGCAUGCUACAAUGGCCGGUACAAAGGGCUGCGAUACCGUAAGGUGGAGCGAAUCCCAAAAAGCCGGUCUCAGUUCGGAUUGGGGUCUGCAACUCGACCCCAUGAAGUCGGAGUCGCUAGUAAUCGCAGAUCAGCAACGCUGCGGUGAAUACGUUCCCGGGCCUUGUACACACCGCCCGUCAAGUCACGAAAGUCGGUAACACCCGAAGCCCAUGGCCCAACCGUUCGC
RNAcentral lists this ribosomal RNA (1357 nucleotides) under Cellulosimicrobium cellulans. RNAcentral describes it as "bacterial SSU rRNA". It matches the Rfam family "Bacterial small subunit ribosomal RNA", at positions 77 to 1446 of the family's 1533-position model. Lineage: Bacteria; Bacillati; Actinomycetota; Actinomycetes; Micrococcales; Promicromonosporaceae. The record is from RNAcentral.